RNAcentral lists this ribosomal RNA (500 nucleotides) under Platypleura murchisoni. Its description in RNAcentral is "partial 16S ribosomal RNA". The stretch from base 374 to 500 matches the Rfam family "Archaeal large subunit ribosomal RNA", at positions 2542 to 2669 of the family's 2987-position model. The record is from RNAcentral. Lineage: Eukaryota; Metazoa; Arthropoda; Insecta; Hemiptera; Cicadidae.
AAAAUUGAAGGUCUAAUCUGCCCAAUGAUAUAUUGAAUGGCCGCGGUAACUUGACCGUGCAAAGGUAGCAUAAUAAUUAGUCUUUUAAUUGAAGGCUUGAAUGAAAGAUUGGAUGAAAAAUAAACUUUAUUAAUAUAAAUUAUUUAACUUACUAUUUAAGUAAAAAUUCUUAAAUAUAUAAGUGGGACGAGAAGACCCUAUAGAGUUUUAUUUUUUUUUAUAUUAUAAAAUUAAAGAAUUAAUAUUUUUAUAAUAUAAAUGAAUUUUUUAUUGGGGUGAUAUUAAAAAUUUAUAAACUUUUAAUUAAUAUUUCAUUAAUAUAUGUAUAUUUGAUCCAAAAAAAAUUUUGAUUAUAAGAUUUAAUUACCUUAGGGAUAACAGCGUUAUUAAUUUGAAGAGCUCAAAUCGAUAAAUUAGUUUGCGACCUCGAUGUUGGAUUAAGAAUAAAUUUUGAAGUAGCAUUUAAAAUUUUGGGUCUGUUCGACCUUUAAAUUCUUACG